Molecule: ribosomal RNA, 460 nt
Filed under: uncultured bacterium
Lineage: Bacteria
Description: partial 16S ribosomal RNA
Rfam family: Bacterial small subunit ribosomal RNA
Source: RNAcentral
CCUACGUGUGGCAGCAGUGAGGAAUAUUGAUCAAUGGGCGCGAGCCUGAACCAGCCAAGUCGCGUGAGGGAUGACGGCCCUAAGGGUUGUAAACCUCUUUUGCCGGGGAGCAACGGGCGCCACGUGUAGCCCCACUGAGAGUACCCGGAGAAAAAGCAUCGGCUAACUCCGUGCCAGCAGCCGCGGUAAUACGGAGGAUGCGAGCGUUAUCCGGAUUUAUUGGGUUUAAAGGGUGCGUAGGCGGAUCGUUAAGUCAGUGGUCAAAUUGAGGGGCUCAACCCCUGCCCGCCAUUGAAACUGGCGUUCUUGAGUGGAAGAGAAGUAUGCGGAAUGCGUGGUGUAGCGGUGAAAUGCAUAGAGAUCACGCAGAACCCCGAUUGCGAAGGCAGCAUGCCGGCUUCCGACUGACGCUGAAGCACGAAAGCGUGGGGAUCGAACAGGAUUAGAUACCCGAGUAGUC